This 72-nucleotide transfer RNA is filed under the name Leuconostoc mesenteroides. Its description in RNAcentral is "tRNA-Val". It matches the Rfam family "tRNA". From Rfam's summary of the family: Transfer RNA (tRNA) molecules are approximately 80 nucleotides in length. Their secondary structure includes four short double-helical elements and three loops (D, anti-codon, and T loops). RNAcentral also lists the same sequence under 2 other names. Lineage: Bacteria; Bacillati; Bacillota; Bacilli; Lactobacillales; Lactobacillaceae. The record is from RNAcentral.
GGACGCUUAGCUCAGCUGGGAGAGCACCUGCCUUACAAGCAGGGGUCACAGGUUCGAUCCCUGUAGCGUCCA